RNAcentral lists this unclassified non-coding RNA (208 nucleotides) under Hevea brasiliensis (rubber tree). The record is from RNAcentral. Lineage: Eukaryota; Viridiplantae; Streptophyta; Magnoliopsida; Malpighiales; Euphorbiaceae.
GCCUUUGGCAACUAAGGUAAUUAUUGGGUUUGUUGUCAUUAGUUUUAUCAGCUUGGUUAGGCUGGUUUGGUUGGUGGCAUAUUCCAUCUUCCACUACCAAUGCAAGAAGAUCCAUGGAGAAGAUCAGGUUGAAUUGCAAGAAAAUGUGGGAUACACUAAAAUUCCCACCACCGCACCAAUACUUAGUGAAAAUAUUCCUUGAUGGGAG